CACCGCGGUUAUACGGGAGACCCAAGUAGAUCGGCUCACGGCGUAAAGCGUGGUUAAGAAGCCCACUGCAAAUAAAGCUAAACACCCUCUCGGCUGUUACAUGCAUUUGAGGUCACAGAAACUCAACUACGAAAGUGGCUUUACUACCUUUCCUAUCCACGAAAGCUUUGAUA
RNAcentral lists this ribosomal RNA (173 nucleotides) under Parapercis cylindrica (cylindrical sandperch). RNAcentral describes it as "partial 12S rRNA". The record is from RNAcentral. Lineage: Eukaryota; Metazoa; Chordata; Actinopteri; Uranoscopiformes; Pinguipedidae.